UACGGGGGGGGCAAGCGUUGUUCGGAAUUACUGGGCGUAAAGGGCUCGUAGGUGGCCAACUAAGUCGGACGUGAAAUCCCUCGGCUUAACCGGGGAACUGCGUCCGAUACUGGUUGGCUUGAGUUUGGGAGAGGGAUGCGGAAUUCCAGGUGUAGCGGUGAAAUGCGUAGAUAUCUGGAGGAAUACCGGUGGCGAAGGCGGCAUCCUGGACCAUAACUGACGCUGAGGCGCGAAAGCUAGGGGAGCAAACGGG
RNAcentral lists this ribosomal RNA (253 nucleotides) under uncultured bacterium. RNAcentral's name for it is "partial 16S ribosomal RNA". It matches the Rfam family "Bacterial small subunit ribosomal RNA", at positions 524 to 776 of the family's 1533-position model. The record is from RNAcentral.